This 250-nucleotide long non-coding RNA is filed under the name Anas zonorhyncha (Eastern spot-billed duck). RNAcentral's name for it is "lncRNA (ENSAZOG00000004669.1)". The record is from RNAcentral. Lineage: Eukaryota; Metazoa; Chordata; Aves; Anseriformes; Anatidae.
AGUGAUAAAGCAUAAAAUUCAUGCUUUCUUCACACUGAAGAGCAACCAUUUUGUACUUUGAUGAAGAUGCUCAUGUUAUGUGAAGAUGCAGUUCUCUGGAUGCUUCCUAAAUUGUCCACGUGAUAUUCUAAUCGUCUGGAGAGAAAGCAGCAUCUGACGUUAUUCCAUCUUCAGAAUGUGAACAGACCGACUGGACACUACUACAGAAACUCCACAGGUUGUUUUGGGUAAAAAAAAGUGAGAACCUAAG